RNAcentral lists this long non-coding RNA (240 nucleotides) under Physcomitrium patens. Its description in RNAcentral is "long non-coding RNA (PPAT_LNC010695)". The record is from RNAcentral. Lineage: Eukaryota; Viridiplantae; Streptophyta; Bryopsida; Funariales; Funariaceae.
UCACACCCACUUCAUUAAAAAUCCUGAUUCACCAUUACAACACUAAUUUCAGCAACGAUUGCCUCCGUCUUCCCAAAACUCUAUGAAGAAGAAAAAUCCAAUUCUCUGUCUUUCCUUCCCCGACCCGAAGCAUGAAGCUUCUCUCCAAUCUCCUUGGUCUUCAAAAACCUCCAAUGAAACCGAACUAGUAACCUUGAAAAAAAACUUGAAGCUAGCUCUUCGUUCCAAAAAAUCCCCCCC